CAGCAGCCACGGGAAAACGGAGGGUGCGAGCGUUACCCGGAAUCACUGGGCGUAAAGGGCGCGUAGGCGGCAUGUUAAGUCUGGUUUUAAAGACAGGGGCUCAACCCCUGGAGUGGACUGGAUACUGGCACGCUUGACCUCUGGAGAGGUAACUGGAAUUUCUGGUGUAGCGGUGGAAUGCGUAGAUACCAGAAGGAACACCAAUGGCGAAGGCAAGUUACUGGACAGAAGGUGACGCUGAGGCGCGAAAGUGUGGGGAGCGAACCGGAUUAGAUACCCGCGUAGUCCCUGUCUCUUAUAC
RNAcentral lists this ribosomal RNA (301 nucleotides) under uncultured bacterium. Its description in RNAcentral is "partial 16S ribosomal RNA". It matches the Rfam family "Bacterial small subunit ribosomal RNA", at positions 509 to 807 of the family's 1533-position model. The record is from RNAcentral.